This 432-nucleotide ribosomal RNA is filed under the name uncultured bacterium. RNAcentral describes it as "partial 16S ribosomal RNA". It matches the Rfam family "Bacterial small subunit ribosomal RNA", at positions 29 to 507 of the family's 1533-position model. The record is from RNAcentral.
ACGAACGCUGGCGGCAUGCCUAACACCUGCAAGUCGAACGAGACCUUCGGGUCUAGUGGCGCACGGGUGCGUAACGCGUGGGAACCUGCCCUUAGGUUCGGAAUAACUCCCCGAAAGGGGUGCUAAUACCGGAUAAUGUCUUCGGACCAAAGAUUUAUCGCCUUUGGAUGGGCCCGCGUUGGAUUAGCUAGUUGGUAGGGUAAAAGCCUACCAAGGCGACGAUCCAUAGCUGGUCUGAGAGGAUGCUCAGCCACACUGGGACUGCGACACGGCCCAGACUCCUACGGGAGGCAGCAGUGGGGAAUAUUGGACGCUGGGCGAAAGCCUGAUCCAGCAAUGCCGCGUGAGUGAUGAAGGCCUUAGGGUUGUAAAGCUCUUUUACCCGGGAUGAUAAUGACAGUACCGGGAGAAUAAGCUCCGGCUAACUCCGUG